Molecule: ribosomal RNA, 495 nt
Filed under: uncultured bacterium
Lineage: Bacteria
Description: bacterial SSU rRNA
Rfam family: Bacterial small subunit ribosomal RNA
Source: RNAcentral
AUGAACGCUAGCGGCAGGCUUAAUACAUGCAAGUUGAGGGGCAGCAUGAUAUACGCGAGUAUAUUGAUGGCGACCGGCGGACGGGUGAGUAAUAGGUAGGAGACCUACCUCAUACAGGGGGAUAGCAUAGAGAAAUCUGUGGUAAUACCCCAUGAGGUUAUAUGAAUAGAGGCAUAUAAUCAAAGCAUAAGCGAUUAUGCGGUAUGAGAGGGGCCUACUGACCAUUAGCUAGUUGGUGAGGUAAGGGGCUCACCAAGGCGAAGAUGGUUAGGGGUUUUGAGAGAGAGACCCCCCACAUUGGAACUGAGAGACGGUCCAGACUCCUACGGGAGGCAGCAGUAGGGAAUAUUGGGCAAUGGGCGAAAGCCUGACCCAGCCAUGCCGCGUGAAGGAAGACGGCCUUAUGGGUUGUAAACUUCUUUACUACGCGAAUAGAGGUUAGUACGAGAUACUAAUAGGAAGGUAGUGUAGUAAAAAGCACCGGCUAACUCCGUG